UUCGAUAAUAAUAGAAUGUAUUCCAGAAAGUAGCAAGUCUUCCUAUUCGCUUUUCCUUAUCGAUGAAGUAAAAGGUGAAGGAGAACGCCAGUCCCUACUCGUCAUAUUCCCCAGCUCAAAUCUGGGCCAACUCGAUCCGCGUCCACCUAGCACCAGCGGCAGGGCAGCCGCUCUUCCGGCCCCAAAAUCAGUCCUCCUCGCACGCAUUAGCACACAACGAUCUCUUUUUCUUUGGAAUCCUCCGCCGCACUCCAAAUCCAAGCUAUUUUUCCUACAGAACUUUUGAUUGCAGAUCUAUCUACUCUACUCACUCCUUUUCCUCUGUCUCGCUCCAACUGCUUUGUGAUUUCAAAUCCCUGAGUAAGUGCCUCUCUCAGAGGGCCCAUUGAAGCAGCCUUCACUAAGUUCUUCAUAAUUAUCAUUGAGUUACGAGAUAUAUUUAGGCAAUUAUACUCGAAAGUGCUUACUGUAGCAGAUUGUGAAACUUUGGAGGACCGUAC
Non-coding RNA from Coffea arabica (coffee), 500 nucleotides. Lineage: Eukaryota; Viridiplantae; Streptophyta; Magnoliopsida; Gentianales; Rubiaceae. The record is from RefSeq and is a predicted model, not a curated record.